Molecule: ribosomal RNA, 239 nt
Filed under: uncultured bacterium
Lineage: Bacteria
Description: partial 16S ribosomal RNA
Rfam family: Bacterial small subunit ribosomal RNA
Source: RNAcentral
GACGAACGCUGGCGGCGUGCUUAACACAUGCAAGUCGAGCGGUAAGGCCCUUUCGGGGGUACACGAGCGGCGAACGGGUGAGUAACACGUGGGUGACCUGCCCUGGGGACCGGGACAACUCUUGGAAACGGGAGCUAAUACCGGAUGUGACCACGAUGCUUGAGGGCAUUGGGGUAAAAGGGUGGCCUGCAAGGGCUAUUGCCUUGGGAUGAGUUCACGACCCAUCAGGUAGUUGGGGG